This is a long non-coding RNA of Zonotrichia leucophrys gambelii, 2888 nucleotides long. RefSeq lists it as uncharacterized. The record is from RefSeq and is a predicted model, not a curated record. Lineage: Eukaryota; Metazoa; Chordata; Aves; Passeriformes; Passerellidae. The transcript is spliced from 5 exons.
CUUAAUCAAAUCACAAGGCAGUUGGAAAUUCAGUCUAGACUAGAUGGAAUAGGGUUAUAGGCUAGAUGGAAAGCUAAAUGCAUUAAAUAAAAACAAGCAAACACAAACAAAAAAGAAGAUUCAUUUGCUGGAAAAUGCAACUAAACAAAUUUCUGACCAGAAACAGGUUAAAAAGAUCAACUUACAAAACUCUGAAGACAGUGAGUGUGAAACAGGCAGAGCUGCUAUUUUUAGAAGACCAGAGCUUUCCUGGCAUGCAGAGCCUUGACAUGGCACAAGUUGAGCCAGUCACUUUGUCAGAUGAAACCAUUGAUGGGUCUCACUCCAGUUACAGCUUGACUGUGAUUACUGCCUUGUCUUUCAUCCUGCCUGCUCCAGUUUUGCUCUCUGUGUCACCAGAUACCUGUUGGAGAAGGGUGGCUUGCCAUGCAUUCCUGCCCUUUUUAUAGGGAAUUUGAAAGAACUACAGCAAGGUCAUCUCUACCCUGCAGCAAUAUUUAAAAAGCUGUGUUGGACUGAAUACACCCACUGUCAUCUUCUCUUGGAAACUCAGUUCCUCCUGGGAGUGUCCAGCACUGAAAAGUAAGACCACUUGGAAAUCCAAGUUGCUGGAGGCACAUGCCAGAGUUCCUUGGUUGCACUUAUAUUAGACCACAGAAAAAUUCUUCCAGUGGCUGCAAUAAUCAUCCAGCCCAAUUUCUACUGCCAAGCUGACAAAAAGGACUUAAAAGCAGUGAAAAUGUUGCUUAGCAUGGUGGAACUCACAUCUGGAUGAAGCUCCAAAUGUGCCUUAAAAAAUAUUCUAUUUCACCAGGGAAAUGCCUGAGGUGCCCAGAUUUGCCUGUGCCUUGGUUGGUCACCUCUGGCCAAUGCUACCAGGGAGCCAGGUGCAGAGAACAGGAGCCUCCCAGCCAGAUUUUGCAGCCUGAAUUUAUUUCAUCUUCACUCCAGCACAGCAGGAUGACCUCACCCGUACAUACCUGCUGCUCACUGCCUCCCUGCUUUGGAGGAUGAAGACCUAAGGUGCUUUUGUUCGUAAAAAGCACAAAAUUUAAUUGUUUUUCUCCCCUUGCUGUUUAACAGUUUUAAUUAAAAACCUUCUGUAACUGAGUUUAGGCCUCUGAGCUCCAGUCUUUUCAUAGCACCCCUUGUAACACAUUUUUCAAGCUCUGUAUUUUCACUGAAACAGGGCAGGUGGUAGAAAACUGAGGUGUUAUCACAAAAAAAUAGGUUUACAACAAAGAAAAGAAAAAAGCUGAAUAAAGUUUCCAGCCUGAUCCAAGAGAAAGAAUGAAUGUAUCACCACAGCAAGCCUCCUGCAGAUGGUGAAAAGUAUCUCAAUUCAAUAAUACAAUAAAAUUAAAAAGUGCAUCUGUAGAUUUUCCCAUUUGGUUAACUCCGGAACACCAUUUCUGCUUGUUUUGGCUGCUUUUUAUUCCUGCCUUUGAGUGUAAAGAAACGGUAAGGAAGUUUAUGAAUGAGGUCCUGCUCACAUUCCAGACUCUGCUAUGUACACGAGCUCUUUUCUGCCGGGAUCCUGGGAUGAGAUCAUUCCAAAACCACCUCGUUUGCCCACUGUGCUCACUCAAAAAAGAUUCAAAUGGACAGAUUUGCACUUUCGGCAAUGCAAACACACAUACAGUAGUUUUCCUGCAUGCCAGCAUCCACCAAACUCCUGGAAUAAAUGAAAGGAAAAAAAAAAAAAAGAAGAAAGGAAAAAAAAACCAGUCCUUUUUCCACUACCAAAGGCUGUUUAUAAAAUCAGUUUGAUCAGCUCAGGAAUGAGCUGAGAUAAUGUUUAUCCACACAAACACUGAAGAUCAUGCAACUAUCUUGACAUGCCAAGCUAAGAUAACUACUGGGCUGAAAAAAAAAAGAGGUUAGAACAACAGGAAAUUACUCAUUUACUACCAGUUGCUCAGGUAUUUUAAAGAGCUCCCAGAACAUUUGCUUUUGUGUACCUAAGAGAGAAAAAAAAGCCUCUGAUGGUGGGGGAAGCCCAGAUGGGUAACAUAAAAGUGACUUUCCUUGCUGAAAGAGCAAAGGCAGGAGAAGGGGGUUGUGACAAGAGGAUAUAAAAUACCCUGCAAUUCAUCAGCAAGGAGAAUCAAACUCUGCCGGAGCGAUCGGCAUUCCUGGGGAUUAUGGAAAGGAUUACGAGCAGCUGGCCAGCCCGUGCGGAGGAAAAGCCAUUUAUUGAAGAGGAAAGAAAAAUAGGCAGUGAAAAUAAAAAUGUUUGCAUUCCCUAAAAAUAUACUUCAAGCCUUCCGAGGGGGAAAUCAAUUAUCCACAAGGGCAUCCUGCUGUCGGGGAGAAAAAUCUAAGGCAUUUUCCAGCUCGGCUGCCCUGGGUUAGCUGAUCUCUCUGUCAGAUGGGUCUCAUCACCGCGGCGUUUGGUGCCUCUGAGUCUUUCAUGUGUUUAAUCUCACAACCCACCUGUGAGAAGAGGAAUUACAGUGAAGGAGCUGAGGAAAGGGCCCAGACUUUUAAAGGGAUUUAGCUGCCCAAUUACCUGGCUCAGGGUUAGGCUGGAAAUCCCCAGGAGAGAAGGAUGUUGCACCUGGGUCUGCCAAGCCCCGGGUCAAUGCAGUUCUCAGUAGCAAUGCCCACUUGGACCUGGGACAAGGGAGAGCUCAGUGCCCCCGUGAAUGGGCCCUUGUUUCUCCCUUGAUUAUUGUUGAGAAAGAUUUUGAGCCCGAAAGGAAAUAAAUAAAUAAAUAAUCAGAGUCUGAGUUCAGAGCAUGAAGAGCAAUUCUUUCUCCCGAGGCUGAGCAGGGUCUCACAGCAUUGCUGCUUGUGUUUAUUUUCAGGGAAAGGAUUUACAAUUAACUUCCAAGUGCCAUGAAGGAGUAGAGCUCCUCUCCUGGGUCAUGAUUUUGCUGCCUCCU